UACGAAGGGGGCUAGCGUUGCUCGGAAUUACUGGGCGUAAAGGGUGCGUAGGCGGUUGUUUAAGUUUGGUGUGAAAUCUCCCGGCUCAACUGGGAGGGUGCGCCGAAUACUGAAUGACUAGAGUGCGGGAGAGGAUAGUGGAAUUCCUGGUGUAGCGGUGAAAUGCGUAGAGAUCCGGAAGAACACCGGUGGCGAAGGCGGCCUGCUGGGCAGUAGCUGACACUGAGGCGCGACAGCGUGGGGAGCAAACAGG
Molecule: ribosomal RNA, 253 nt
Filed under: uncultured bacterium
Lineage: Bacteria
Description: partial 16S ribosomal RNA
Rfam family: Bacterial small subunit ribosomal RNA
Source: RNAcentral